AGCGAACGCUAGCGGAUGGCUUAACACAUGCAAGUCGAGCGGGCAGCUUCGGCUGUCUAGCGGCGAACGGGUGCGUAACACGUGGGUAAUUUGCCUUCUGGUGGGGGAUAACCCGACGAAAGUCGGGCUAAUACCGCAUACGUCCUACGGGAGAAAGAGGGCCUCUGCUUGCACGCUCUCACUCCAGGAUGAGCCCACGUCCGAUUAGCUAGUUGGUAGGGUAAAGGCCUACCAAGGCCACGAUCGGUAGCUGGUCUGAGAGGAUGAUCAGCCACACUGGGACUGAGACACGGCCCAGACUCCUACGGGAGGCAGCAGUGGGGAAUAUUGGACAAUGGGCGCAAGCCUGAUCCAGCAAUGCCGCGUGUGUGAAGAAGGCCUGCGGGUUGUAAAGCACUUUCAGUGGGGAAGAACAGAUUCGGGUCAAUACCCCGGAGCCCUGACGUUACCCACAGAAGAAGCACCGGCUAACUCCGUGCCAGCAGCCGCGGUAAAGUAG
This 499-nucleotide ribosomal RNA is filed under the name uncultured bacterium. Its description in RNAcentral is "bacterial SSU rRNA". It matches the Rfam family "Bacterial small subunit ribosomal RNA", at positions 29 to 528 of the family's 1533-position model. The record is from RNAcentral.